This is a non-coding RNA of Perkinsus marinus ATCC 50983, 74 nucleotides long. NCBI's taxonomy places the organism in Eukaryota, Perkinsozoa, Perkinsida, Perkinsidae. The record is from Rfam.
GCCCGAUUAGCUCAGCUGGAUAGAAUGUCUGCCUACGGAGCAGAUGGUCGUAGGUUCGAAUCCUGCAUCGGGUA